This 1234-nucleotide ribosomal RNA is filed under the name metagenome. Its description in RNAcentral is "bacterial LSU rRNA". It matches the Rfam family "Bacterial large subunit ribosomal RNA", at positions 1708 to 2925 of the family's 2925-position model. The record is from RNAcentral.
UGGAACUCGGCAAAUUACCCCCGUAACUUCGGGAGAAGGGGGGCCACAGACCGUGAAACCCCAUGCGGGUGGCGGCGGUAGGUGGCCGCAGAGACCAGGGGGAAGCGACUGUUUACUAAAAACACAGGUCCGUGCGAAGUCGUAAGACGAUGUAUACGGACUGACGCCUGCCCGGUGCUGGAACGUUAAGGGGACCGGUUAGUCCGCAAGGGCGAAGCUGAGAACUUAAGCGCCAGUAAACGGCGGUGGUAACUAUAACCAUCCUAAGGUAGCGAAAUUCCUUGUCGGGUAAGUUCCGACCUGCACGAAUGGCGUAACGACUUCCCUACUGUCUCAACCACAGGCCCGGCGAAAUUGCACUACGAGUAAAGAUGCUCGUUACGCGCGGAAGGACGGAAAGACCCCGGGACCUUCACUAUAGCUUGACAUUGGUACUCGAAUUGAAUUGUGUAGGAUAGGUGGGAGACUAUGAAGCUCGGACGCCAGUCCGGGUGGAGUCAACGUUGAAAUACCACUCUGUUGAAUUUGGGUAUCUAACUUCGGACCGUGAUCCGGUUCAGGGACAGUGUCUGGUGGGUAGUUUAACUGGGGCGGUUGCCUCCUAAAAUGUAACGGAGGCGCCCAAAGGUUCCCUCAGCCUGGUUGGCAAUCAGGUGUUGAGUGCAAGUGCACAAGGGAGCUUGACUGUGAGACUGACAGGUCGAGCAGGGACGAAAGUCGGGACUAGUGAUCCGGCACCGGCGAGUGGAAGCGGUGUCGCUCAACGGAUAAAAGGUACCCCGGGGAUAACAGGCUGAUCUUCCCCAAAAGUCCAUAUCGACGGGAUGGUUUGGCACCUCGAUGUCGGCUCGUCGCAUCCUGGGGCUGGAGUAGGUCCCAAGGGUUGGGCUGUUCGCCCAUUAAAGCGGCACGCGAGCUGGGUUUAGAACGUCGUGAGACAGUUCGGUCCCUAUCCUCCGCGCGCGCAGGAGACUUGAGAAGAGCUGUCCCUAGUACGAGAGGACCGGGACGGACGAACCUCUGGUGUGCCAGUUGUCAUGCCAAUGGCACGGCUGGUUAGCUACGUUCGGAAGGGAUAACCGCUGAAAGCAUCUAAGCGGGAAGCCUGCUUCAAGAUGAGGUCUCCCACCCCCUCGAGGGUUAAGGCCCCCAGCAAGACCACUGGGUUGAUAGGCCAGAAGUGUAAGCCUGGUAACAGGUUCAGCCGACUGGUACUAAUAGGCCGAGGACUCGA